Molecule: ribosomal RNA, 253 nt
Filed under: uncultured bacterium
Lineage: Bacteria
Description: partial 16S ribosomal RNA
Rfam family: Bacterial small subunit ribosomal RNA
Source: RNAcentral
UACAGAGGGUGCGAGCGUUAAUCGGAAUUACUGGGCGUAAAGGGCUCGUAGGUGGCCAACUAAGUCAGACGUGAAAUCCCUCAGCUUAACUGGGGAACUGCGUCUGAUACUGGAUGGCUUGAGAUUGGGAGAGGGAUGCGGAAUUCCAGGUGUAGCGGUGAAAUGCGUAGAUAUCUGGAGGAACACCGGUGGCGAAGGCGGCAUCCUGGACCAUUACUGACGCUGAGGAGCGAAAGCCAGGGGAGCAAACGGG